GUUUGAAAUUUAACGUGCAGCAAACUUUCUCGCUCGUUGUGACACCUAACCUAUCCCACACACGGGUAAAAGUAUCCUGUAUGACACCGGAGCAACUUUUCUUUGAUGGAUAUUACGAGACAACCACGGUUGAGUGAGCUCCGACCACAACGAAGCAAAGGAUCUCCAGAAGGUGUUUUCCUGCAACCAUUCAUUCCAGUGUUACUUUCCAUUUACAGUCAUGGUUUUCUAUAAAAACAGUUCAUCUGUUUCAUCAAGAUCAGAUUGUUCUCAUUCACUUCCACAGUAAGGCCUCACUCUAACCGUUUUUUAAGAGUGGAAAUUAAUUUAGUUUUUGUGGUAAUCAACAUUAUGCUACAGAUGCCGAGAACCAAGAAUACUCCUUUAACCACUAAACUACACCACCUCAACCAUUGGACAGUCGCAUGCAUCAUAUUGGACGUGAAGCUGCAUGUUAGCGACCCUGUAUCCUCCUACACACCCACUGCUCACCCGGACAGCACACAAGUUACUCAUCCCUUCUGUUCAAAAAUACUUUACAAACUAAACAAGAGCUAUAUCUCUGCAGACGCACUCUCUGUGGUUUACAGAGUUCAAAAGUGUGGCUUUUCACAAUCAUCUGCAGUUCUGGAGUAGUGACAGAUGCACCUGUUUUCCCUCUUUAAAGGAUUUUUAACCUCUUUCACCCUCAAUGAGCCUUCCAGAUGUCAAGGAAAAUGUAUUCUUAAAAAACACAUUAAAAUCUUAU
Long non-coding RNA from Megalobrama amblycephala (Wuchang bream), 748 nucleotides. RefSeq lists it as uncharacterized. Lineage: Eukaryota; Metazoa; Chordata; Actinopteri; Cypriniformes; Xenocyprididae. The record is from RefSeq and is a predicted model, not a curated record. The transcript is spliced from 3 exons.